RNAcentral lists this ribosomal RNA (465 nucleotides) under uncultured bacterium. RNAcentral describes it as "bacterial SSU rRNA". It matches the Rfam family "Bacterial small subunit ribosomal RNA", at positions 331 to 793 of the family's 1533-position model. The record is from RNAcentral.
CCAGACUCCUACGGGAGGCAGCAGUGAGGAAUAUUGGUCAAUGGGCGGGAGCCUGAACCAGCCAAGUCGCGUGAGGGAAGACGGUCCUACGGAUUGUAAACCUCUUUUGCCGGGGAGCAACGGGGUCCUUGCGAGGGCCCAAUGAGAGUACCCGGAGAAAAAGCAUCGGCUAACUCCGUGCCAGCAGCCGCGGUAAUACGGAGGAUGCGAGCGUUAUCCGGAUUUAUUGGGUUUAAAGGGUGCGUAGGCGGGCUGUUAAGUCAGCGGUAAAAUGUCGGGGCUCAACCCCGGCCUGCCGUUGAAACUGGCAGUCUUGAGUGGGCGAGAAGUAUGCGGAAUGCGUGGUGUAGCGGUGAAAUGCAUAGAUAUCACGCAGAACUCCGAUUGCGAAGGCAGCAUACCGGCGCCCGACUGACGCUGAGGCACGAAAGCGUGGGUAUCGAACAGGAUUAGAUACCCUCGUAU